AGAGUUUGAUCCUGGCUCAGAUUGAACGCUGGCGGUAUGCUUAACACAUGCAAGUCGAACGGAAACGAUGGUAGCUUGCUACCAGGCGUCGAGUGGCGGACGGGUGAGUAACGCGUAGGAAUCUACCUGAUAGUGGGGGAUAGCCCAGAGAAAUCUGGAUUAAUACCGCAUAAUCUCUAUGGAGUAAAGUGGGGGAUCUUCGGACCUCACGCUAUCAGAUGAGCCUGCGUAAGAUUAGCUAGUUGGUGAGGUAAAAGCUCACCAAGGCGACGAUCUUUAGCUGGUCUGAGAGGAUGAUCAGCCACACUGGGACUGAGACACGGCCCAGACUCCUACGGGAGGCAGCAGUGGGGAAUAUUGGACAAUGGGCGCAAGCCUGAUCCAGCAAUACCGCGUGUGUGAAGAAGGCCUGAGGGUUG
RNAcentral lists this ribosomal RNA (419 nucleotides) under uncultured bacterium. Its description in RNAcentral is "bacterial SSU rRNA". It matches the Rfam family "Bacterial small subunit ribosomal RNA", at positions 8 to 425 of the family's 1533-position model. The record is from RNAcentral.